GUCACGGUAGCUCAGUUGGCAGAGCGCGGGACUCAUAAGCCCGAGGUCGCUGGUUCAAUCCCAGCCCGUGACACCA
Molecule: transfer RNA, 76 nt
Filed under: Candidatus Peregrinibacteria bacterium
Lineage: Bacteria; Candidatus Peregrinibacteriota
Description: tRNA-Met
Rfam family: tRNA
About the family: Transfer RNA (tRNA) molecules are approximately 80 nucleotides in length. Their secondary structure includes four short double-helical elements and three loops (D, anti-codon, and T loops). Further hydrogen bonds mediate the characteristic L-shaped molecular structure. tRNAs have two regions of fundamental functional importance: the anti-codon, which is responsible for specific mRNA codon recognition, and the 3' end, to which the tRNAs corresponding amino acid is attached (by aminoacyl-tRNA synthetases). tRNAs cope with the degeneracy of the genetic code in two manners: having more than one tRNA (with a specific anti-codon) for a particular amino acid; and 'wobble' base-pairing, i.e. permitting non-standard base-pairing at the 3rd anti-codon position.
Source: RNAcentral